GGGUUGUGAGGUUAAGCGACUAAGCGUACACGGUGGAUGCCCUGGCAGUCAGAGGCGAUGAAGGACGUGCUAAUCUGCGAUAAGCGCCGGUAAGGUGAUAUGAACCGUUAUAACCGGCGAUUUCCGAAUGGGGAAACCCAGUGUGACUCGUCACACUAUCAUUAACUGAAUCCAUAGGUUAAUGAGGCGAACCGGGGGAACUGAAACAUCUAAGUACCCCGAGGAAAAGAAAUCAACCGAGAUUCCCCCAGUAGCGGCGAGCGAACGGGGAGGAGCCCAGAGCCUGAAUCAGCAUGUGUGUUAGUGGAAGCGUCUGGAAAGGCGCGCGAUACAGGGUGACAGCCCCGUACACAAAAGCGCACAUGCUGUGAGCUCGAUGAGUAGGGCGGGACACGUGGUAUCCUGUCUGAAUAUGGGGGGACCAUCCUCCAAGGCUAAAUACUCCUGACUGACCGAUAGUGAACCAGUACCGUGAGGGAAAGGCGAAAAGAACCCCGGCGAGGGGAGUGAAAAAGAACCUGAAACCGUGUACGUACAAGCAGUGGGAGCACCCUUUGGGGUGUGACUGCGUACCUUUUGUAUAAUGGGUCAGCGACUUAUAUUCUGUAGCAAGGUUAACCGAAUAGGGGAGCCGGAGGGAAACCGAGUCUUAACCGGGCGUUAAGUUGCAGGGUAUAGACCCGAAACCCGGUGAUCUAGCCAUGGGCAGGUUGAAGGUUGGGUAACACUAACUGGAGGACCGAACCGACUAAUGUUGAAAAAUUAGCGGAUGACCUGUGGCU
RNAcentral lists this ribosomal RNA (782 nucleotides) under Salmonella enterica. Its description in RNAcentral is "partial 23S ribosomal RNA". It matches the Rfam family "Bacterial large subunit ribosomal RNA", at positions 1 to 816 of the family's 2925-position model. The record is from RNAcentral. Lineage: Bacteria; Pseudomonadati; Pseudomonadota; Gammaproteobacteria; Enterobacterales; Enterobacteriaceae.